Molecule: ribosomal RNA, 119 nt
Organism: Cyprinus carpio carpio
Lineage: Eukaryota; Metazoa; Chordata; Actinopteri; Cypriniformes; Cyprinidae
Source: Ensembl
GCUUACGGCCAUACCACCCUGAUCGCGCCUGGUCUCAUCUGAUUUUGGAAGCUAAGCAGGGUCGGGUCUGGUUAGUACUUGAAUGGGAGACCGCCUGGGAAUACCAGGUGCUGUAAGCU